CUGGUAUGUAAACUCCCUUCUGCGCACUAAAUCCUUUUCCUUGGCAACAGAAUCUCAUAUCUUAGCCGCACUACCAAAUUAGUAGACCUCUCUGAUAUCACAGCGCGUGCUGCUGGCUGUGUCGUCUGUCUACAGCAGACGAGGAGUGCAUGACUUGUGAAUGAAUCAUUAUUUUGUGCCCUGUAGAAUUUGCUAUGUAUGCAGUGCAUCGUUCGAUAACGGCGCACACGAACUCGAGUAUGAACUUUAGGUUCGGCGUACAUAGAAUUCUUUGUUCAUCAUACUUGCUCUCUCCUUGGCAUAAGCAAUUACAAAUAGAAGGGCCUACUCCACCGAGUGUAAUUAUAUUUCUUCGACAGCAUUGUGUAACCUACAUUCGCCUGAUCUGAUUUUAUAUAUAGCUCUAUUGUGUGCAAUCAUUUAUCAAGGAGUUGGUUAAUUAAGGACAAAUCUGUGCGGGGUUUUUCUUACACGAAGCCAAAUAACAUCUCGUUGCUGCUGUGUAGUAUACAAAUUAUUUAUAUUUCAACCGAUCAAGGAGUUGGUUAAUUAAGGACAAAUCUGUGCGGGUUUUUUCUUACACGAAGCCAAAUAACAUCUCGUUGCUGCUGUGUAGUAUAAAAAUUAUUUAUAUUUCAACCGGAACGAAUCUGCAUAGCAAAGAUGUGAUUUUCCAUCCUCCAUGGUUGCUGAGCAUAAUGCAUCGUUGUCUUCGUUGAAAUUUUCCUCCAGCGAAACGAACCAUAGCGAGCGCGAGCUACACCAGCUACAUCCAUUAUUGACCAUUUUGCUGUGUGUAUCUUCAUAGCUUGCCUUGCAUAAAACUGGGAACCAUGAUAGAGUGAAUUUGAUGUGUCAUCUCGUACGUUGUCGAACUUGACGUCGAUCUGGGCGAACAUCUACAAAUUGUAAACGGGUACCGCGAUUGUGCAUCCAUCUCUAAUAUCAUUAUAUACACCUACAAAUUGGUGUAUUGACAACGACAUAGAAACCUUGCGUAAUCUGUUUAUUUUGUCGAGUAACAGAGUUAAGGAGAGUCAGGCUGACGUUCCAUGAUGAAGUUGGAUAUUCACGAAGCAGCUUUCACUGGUGACACUAGAAACAUCAACGCCGCUUUGGAUCAGGGCCAGGAUCCGAAGGAAAAAGAUAGGACAGGCACAACUGCGUUGCACAAGGCAGCCGCGAAUGGACAUGUUGAGAUUGUACAGCUUCUUGCCGAGAGAGGGGGUGAUAUCAAUCAACCUGACAUCACAGGAUCAACAUCGCUCCACGCAGCGGCGAGGAAUGGGCAUAUGAAAGCAGUAAAAUGGCUGGUGAACAACGGUUCUGACAUACGGGCCAAGAGCCAGAAGGGAAACACAGCCGAGGAUGUCGCAAAGACCCACAGUCAAUUUGAAGUCUCUGCUUUCUUACGAGAAUGUGGGAGAGAAAAGUUUGAUUGGGAGAUCGACAGCGGGACUUACGGGGGACGGACAUGAUGAGGUGGCACCCCAUACCGGUCGGGCCGGCAGGUCCGUGCCCUACUCUGCUCUUCAAUUCCAGCUGUAACCAAAUCCUUAUCGAAUACUUUAUACCUCAGUCACACUAACCAGACCGACACCAUACCACAAACAUACCGACCGACAAAUUACAUCACACCAAUAGCCAAGAAUCAGUUGGUUUGGAGUUGGUGUGAAGUUGGUUUACCGGUGUGACUGAGUCACUGAGAUAUCCUGUUCUGUGACUUCUGAACACGUUUGAAACGUGGAAGCCUGGAAGACUAUCACAACUUUAAUGUUGUUGAUAAUUAUGUUCUUGUUGUAUUAUUGUAUUUACCGACAUUUAUUUUGAUACGACACUUUAGAUGCAUGAUUCCUAUUCCAUUCACACAUUCGGGGUAAUGUUAGGUUUUAUUUUUUUAAAACUAUUGUUGGUUUAUUGUCGGUCUUUUUUCGGCCUCGUUAGUGUGAAUUUGGUAUCACAUAUUCUUUACAUAAUCCAAAAGACAAGGGCAUUUUCAUUUGUGCAUCACCAAAGGGGUCAUUGGAGCACUUAUUAACGGUUAAAAAUAUAUAUAGAAAACUGAAGUAAUAGUACUUUCGGCAACUUUAGGAUCAUCUUAAUUCUAUUUUUUGACAUUCCUUCAGAGAAAUUCAAUCACGUUUUGUUUUAAUAAUGCAGAAGACAUCUUGGAAUCGGCAGUAAUUUCGCUCUCAUGAUUUUCACCUUUCUCGAUCAAAAUAUUGGCUGAAUCCCAAAUGCUUUGUGCCUUCGCAUUCUGUUUAAGUGUGCUAACAAUUUCAUAAUCCAUUACGUAACCCAUUGAUGUAAUAAUGUAUAAAAUCAUCUUUAAGAUACUAUUUAUAAGAUACCAUGACACUUAUUUGUACAUAUUUAGAGAAUACUUCACUUAUAUUUCAUAACACUUAUUUGUACAUAUUUAGAGAAUAUUUCAGAGUAAGUCAUUCUUGUUAUAUAUUUUUUGUUAGGGUAAAUAAUAACCUGUUGAAACAAUUCUGUCUAUUAUUAGACUAAAAAGGUGUACCCAACUUUGGUAGCUUCAAAUAAAAAAAAGUUAUAAC
Molecule: long non-coding RNA, 2561 nt
Organism: Strongylocentrotus purpuratus (purple sea urchin)
Lineage: Eukaryota; Metazoa; Echinodermata; Echinoidea; Camarodonta; Strongylocentrotidae
Product: serine/threonine-protein phosphatase 6 regulatory ankyrin repeat subunit C
Exons: 5
Source: RefSeq, a predicted model, not a curated record